AGGGGCAGCGGGGUAGUGCUUGCACUACUGCCCUCGACCGGCGCACGGGUGAGUAACACGUAUGGAACCUGCCCGCAGCAGGGGGAUAAGCGGAAGAAAUUCCGUCUAAUACCGCGUAAGAACGUUGGGAGGCAUCUCCCGAUGUUUAAAGAUUUAUCGGCUGCGGAUGGCCAUGCGGCGCAUUAGCUAGUCGGCGGGGUAACGGCCCACCGAGGCGACGAUGCGUAGGGGUUCUGAGAGGAAGGUCCCCCACACUGGUACUGAGACACGGACCAGACUCCUACGGGAGGCAGCAGUGAGGAAUAUUGGUCAAUGGCCGAGAGGCUGAACCAUUUAUGUCGCGUGAGGGAAGACGGCCCUACGGGUUGUAAACCUCUUUUGUCGGGGAGCAAAGCGAACCACGUGUGGUUCAUUGAGAGUACCCGAAGAAAAAGCAUCGGCUAACUCCGUGCCAGCAGCCGCGGUAAUACGGAGGAUGCGAGCGUUAUCCGGAUUUAUUGGGUUUAAAGGGUGCGCAGGCGGAGGUGCAAGUCAGCGGUCAAAUUGCGGGGCUCAACCCCGUACUGCCGUUGAAACUGCAUCCCUUGAGUGCGCGAGAAGUAUGCGGAAUGCGUGGUGUAGCGGUGAAAUGCAUAGAUCUCUCGAGGAACUCCGCUUGCGAAGGCAGCAUACGGGCGCGCAACUGACGCUCAGGCACGAAAGCGUGGGGUAUCGAACAGGAUUAGAUACCCUGUUAGUCCACGCAGUAAACGAUGAACACUAACUGUUCGGCCAGAAUGAUGGCUGAGUGGUACAGCGAAAGCGUUAAGUGUUCCACCUGGGGAGUACGCCGGCAACGGUGAAACUCAAAGGAAUUGACGGGGGCCCGCACAAGCGGAGGAACAUGUGGUUUAAUUCGAUGAUACGCGAGGAACCUUACCCGGGCUCAAACGACACAGGAAUACUUUUGAAAGGAGGUAGCCCUACGGGGUCUGUGUCGAGGUGCUGCAUGGUUGUCGUCAGCUCGUGCCGUGAGGUGUCGGCUUAAGUGCCAUAACGAGCGCAACCCCUAUCGCCAGUUACCAUCAAGUAAAGUUGGGGACUCUGGCGAGACUGCCGGCGCAAGCUGAGAGGAAGGCGGGGAUGACGUCAAAUCAGCACGGCCCUUACGUCCGGGGCGACACACGUGUUACAAUGGCAGGUACAGAGAGAAGCCAGGUGGUGACACCGAGCGGAACUCGAAAGCCUGUCUCAGUUCGGAUCGGAGUCUGCAACCCGACUCCGUGAAGCUGGAUUCGCUAGUAAUCGC
RNAcentral lists this ribosomal RNA (1288 nucleotides) under uncultured bacterium. RNAcentral describes it as "bacterial SSU rRNA". It matches the Rfam family "Bacterial small subunit ribosomal RNA", at positions 65 to 1345 of the family's 1533-position model. The record is from RNAcentral.